Molecule: long non-coding RNA, 108 nt
Organism: Dipodomys ordii (Ord's kangaroo rat)
Lineage: Eukaryota; Metazoa; Chordata; Mammalia; Rodentia; Heteromyidae
Exons: 3
Source: RefSeq, a predicted model, not a curated record
AGAAUCACAUAAAAAAAAUUAUGCACUAUGAUCAGGUAGGUUUUAUCCCAGAGAUGCAAGGCUGGUUUAAUAUAUGUAAGUCAAUAAAAGCAAUGUAUCACAUCAAUA